This is a long non-coding RNA of Chlorocebus sabaeus (green monkey), 2470 nucleotides long. RefSeq lists it as uncharacterized. The record is from RefSeq and is a predicted model, not a curated record. NCBI's taxonomy places the organism in Eukaryota, Metazoa, Chordata, Mammalia, Primates, Cercopithecidae.
CUUCAGGUCCCAGUCCGCUCUGCUUCCAUCCGAGGUCACCGAGUCCUUUCACACCAUGAUAGACUCCAAUGCUGAAUGCCUGGACCUCUAAGCAAGUGCUCCUCUCAGUUCCUCUUCUUCUACAGGCUUUCUGCAUGUCGUGGCCUCAACCUCUUCCAUCUUCAAGCCAGCAGUGGGUGGUCGAGGUUUUCUCACAAGGCAGCACUCUGGCACAGACACUUCUCCCUUCCUCUGCCACAUUUAACGACCCUGUGAUCACGUUGAGACUGCCAGGAUAAUCCAGGACCACCUCCUUUUCUUCAGGAUUUGAAGUUGCCAGAAAGGUGGGAGUCUUUCCUUUGUUUAUGGCUGUGACUUUGACACGUUAAUGACAGGGGACUCUGCUAGCCUUGAAAGAGCGGGGAGGCCCGAGGAGACAGCUUGCCUUUCUCCCAUCUGCCACCGGCCUAUCGGAGCCACCAUUUCACCUCGCUCUGCAGAGGUUUUCUUCACAUAUUCCACGAGGUUGAGGCCAUCUGCUUCCCUAUCUGUAAUUAGUUGCACACUUGUGCUUCUGCUGCUAUUGCACUAUGUUAUUAUGUUCGGGAUUUUAAAAGUAUGAUGUGCACCUCCCUUGCUUGAAUCAAGACUCCCUCAGAGAAUGGUGCAUGUUUAACAGUGCCUGAGAGAGGGUGUCUGACGGUGAAGGAAGCUCUGGGGGGCGUUCUGAAUCCUUGUGCAGCAGUCAGGCUGCAGUCUUACUCUUACCUCCUGGGAAGUCGCAGUCACAUCUUGCCAUCAAUUCUGAAAGCCUCGUGCAAGCUGCUUGGUUUUGUAUUUCAGGAGACUAUGGAAGGCCAGCUGGUUGUCCAGAGCAGGAGAUAGGGACCAGAAGGGGAAGAUGGGAUCCUGAGUGUGAGUCAUUCUCACCAUUCUGUCCUCAAAGAGAAAAAAUUGGUGGUGGGCACCAAGCAGAGGCAUAAACAGGUCCUAACAUUAAGGGCAGGGAGAAGAGAGGGGAUGAGGAUGUAGCAGCAUGGGAAAAUAGUUGGUAAGAGAAUAGUUGAUGGAAGACUGAACAGCUUUAAAAGUUAGAUUUAAAAAAAGAGCAGCGACUCCUUUUGCCCUCCUUGUCUGGUGUUACUUGGUCUUGUCAAGAUUUUUUCAUCAUGGUCCUGUCAACAAAUUACCUGGUAGGAAAAAAAAAAUAAUGAAAAAGUUUUCCUUUUAGAGAAUGUGCUCACAGAAAGCAACUCUUCCCCCAAGGACUUGCCCUAGUCCCAUCUCUGCAUCUGGGGCCUGGAGGGACAGAGGGAGUCAGAGCAUGUGGCUUGGUGGUCUUCAAGUGGGACAUUCUCUGGCAGUGUGGGAACCACACAUCAGGUGGCACCUGGUCUAUACAUGUCUUGGUGGGAGAACUGACGUAGGGACUAACCCUAGUUCCCUCCUGGAUCCUGCUGCCCUGCCACUUCUUGGUGGAAAGGCAGGGGAGACCCAAACUGUGUAGUCAGAGCUCAACUGUUUCAAUAGACCUUAGCACAAGAGCUGCUAGGAGUGGUCAUGGCUUCUGUGAGUGAGCUAUUUCAUUUUUGAAUAGAUAACAUAGUCACAUAAGGUAAAAUUGCAAAGGAAUAAAAGAGUACACAGUGAAAAGAUUUCCUCCCACCCUUGACUCCAGAUACCUAAUUCCUUCACUGGAACCAACUAAUGUAAUUACUUUCUUGCACACCCUGCCAGAAGUAUUUAAUGCAUAUAUAAGCAAACAUAUAUGAGUAUCCUCUCCCUUUCUUUUAAAAUUUAAUUGUAUUAUUUUAAAGAGAUUUUAUUCUUUAGAUCACUUUUAGAUUCAUGACAAAAUUGAGCAGAAGACACAGAGACUUCCCAUAUUCUCUCUGGCCAUAUACCCACAGCCUCCCACCUUAUCAACAUCCCUCACCAGAGUGGUACAUGCUGUUACAAUCAAUGAACCUACAUUGAUGCAACAUUACCACCCAAAAUCCAUAGUUUACAUUAAGGACACUCUUACUGUUGUACACUGUAGAGAUCUGGGAAAAUAUAUAAUGACAUGUAACCAGCAUUGCAGUAGUAUCACUGCCCUAAAAGUCCCUGUGCAAUGCCUAUUCAUCCCUCCGUACCCCACCCCUGGCAACCACUGAUCUUUCUACUGUCUCCAUAGUGUCAGCUUUUCCCAAAUGUCACAUAGCUGGACUUCUACAAUGUGUAGUCUUUUCAGAUUGGCUCCUUUCAUUGAGUAAUAUGCAUUUUAAGUUUUCUCUGUGUCUUUUUUUGACUUGACAGCUCAUUUCUUUUCAAUGCUGAAUAAUACUCCAUUGUCUGGAUGUACCAGAGUUUAUCCAUUCACUUACUGAAGGGUAUCAUGGUUGCAUCUAAGUUUUGGCAAUUAUGAAUAAAGCUGCUGUCAAUAUCCAUGUGCAGGUUUUUGUGCAGACAUAGGCUUUCAACGCGUUUGGGUCAAUAUCAAGGAGUGUGA